ACACGUUCCGUGAUAUGGUGCGGUGUGCGGACUGCGGAUAUGGCGCCAGCGCAGAGAAAUAACCAACAAUCUUGGUUGUAUAAGCAUUUCAGUAAAUUAGACCGUUUUUCCAUGAAGUGCAAUACUUGUGAUACUAAUAUCGGUACACACGAUUUAAACUAUUUGAAAGCACAUUUGUACCGUAAUCAUAAAAUCUUUAGAGAAGAGGAUUUGUCAAGAUGGAAUAACGACAACAAUGUGUUAUGGCAAUAUUUCUUAAAAGUAGACUUAUAUACUGCAAAAUGCAAAACUUGUGACCGUUUAUUUUUUAGUGCAUAUAACAAAUAUGGGUUAGUAAGCCAUCUGAAAAGAUAUCAUUCACAAGUAUUACUUGCGAUACAAGAAAAAAUUACAAGUACUUGGCUGUCGCCACAUUUCACAUUCGACAUGAUAAAGUAUCGUGCAAAUUGCGUACAUUGCACUUAUUCUAAAAUAUAUUCCGAAAUAGACGCCUUAGAAGAACAUUUAAGCACUUCACAUAAUAUAAACAGAUGUUCAGGACAUGCAAUAAUACUUGGAUUUUACAUAAAUGUAAACGACAUAUAUAGCUAUAUAGCUACAUAGCUAAGGAAAAUUAUAUAUGUUUUCAUCGUGAUAAUAUAUUGAAGAAGGUUCCAAUUACAGAAGCCAACAAAGGAUUUAUGCAUGUCGUGACAGAAUCUGGAGACCAUAUUGGAUGUAAUAUUAAUAAUAACAAAAACUUGAUUUGAAUACUGGAAUGUAUAAAUAGAACUAACACGCGCACUUGAUGAGUAUAAAUUACUCGCUUUGAGUUACAUAAUGUAAAGUAAUUUUAUUACUGAAGCAUUAACUUUGUGCCAAAUAUAUAAUAUACUAAUUGAAUUAUUAAAUUCAAAUUAUUAACUAAUCGAAUAGUCAUGAUGUAUUUGAAUUUUCUUUAUCAUUCAUUAUAUUCUUUAUCACCUUAUAAAGACGUCUUUUAUAACUUAUACAAACGUAUUACAUUUAUAAUCUAAAUGUAUACGUUAAAGUUGUAAAUUAAACUUAUCCGAACACUAAAA
Long non-coding RNA from Wasmannia auropunctata (little fire ant), 1061 nucleotides. RefSeq lists it as uncharacterized. The record is from RefSeq and is a predicted model, not a curated record. The transcript is spliced from 2 exons. NCBI's taxonomy places the organism in Eukaryota, Metazoa, Arthropoda, Insecta, Hymenoptera, Formicidae.